This is a non-coding RNA of Parascedosporium putredinis, 93 nucleotides long. The record is from the annotation of a GenBank genome assembly. Lineage: Eukaryota; Fungi; Ascomycota; Sordariomycetes; Microascales; Microascaceae.
GGGCGGCUGGCGCAAUGGUAGCGCGUUGCUCUCCUAUCUCAUUCGAUGAAGAGCGCCAAGCAAAGGUUGCAAGUUCGAGUCUUGCGUCGCUCG